CACGUAGGCGGCCUGUCAAGCGCUUUGUGAAAUCCCUCGGCUUAACCGGGGAAUGGCUUGGCGAACUGGCAGGCUUGAGGCACGCAGAGGCGCGGGGAACUCUUGGUGGAGCGGUGAAAUGCGUAGAUAUCAAGAGGAACGCCGGUGGCGAAAGCGCCGCGCUGGGCGUGUCCUGACGCUGAGGUGCGAAAGCCAGGGGAGCGAACG
Molecule: ribosomal RNA, 207 nt
Filed under: uncultured bacterium
Lineage: Bacteria
Description: partial 16S ribosomal RNA
Rfam family: Bacterial small subunit ribosomal RNA
Source: RNAcentral